Molecule: ribosomal RNA, 440 nt
Filed under: uncultured bacterium
Lineage: Bacteria
Description: partial 16S ribosomal RNA
Rfam family: Bacterial small subunit ribosomal RNA
Source: RNAcentral
CCUACGGGAGGCAGCAGUAGGGAAUAUUGCUCAAUGGGGGAAACCCUGAACCAGCAACGCCGCGUGGAGGAUGAAGGUUUUCGGAUUGUAAACUUCUUUUGUUAGAGAAGAUAAUGACGGUCUCUAACGAAUAAGCACCGGCCAAAUCCGUGCCAGAAGCCGCGGUAAUACGGAGCGGGCACGCGUUACACGGAAUCACUGGGCGUAAAGAGCGCGUAGGCGGGAUAGCAAGUCAGAUGUGAAAUCCUAUGGCUAAACCGUAGAGCUGCAUUUGAAACUGUUAGUCUAGAGUGUGGGAGAGGUGGGUGGAAUUCUUGGUGUAGGGGUGAAAUGCGUAGAUAUCAGGAGGAAUACUCAUUGCGAAGGCGACCCGCUAGUACGUAACUGACGCUGAUGCGCGAAAGCGUGGGGAGCAAACAGGAUUAGAUACCCGUGUAGUC